RNAcentral lists this ribosomal RNA (228 nucleotides) under uncultured Leptolinea sp. RNAcentral describes it as "partial 16S ribosomal RNA". It matches the Rfam family "Bacterial small subunit ribosomal RNA", at positions 1154 to 1382 of the family's 1533-position model. Lineage: Bacteria; Bacillati; Chloroflexota; Anaerolineae; Anaerolineales; Anaerolineaceae. The record is from RNAcentral.
GGUCUUAAGCCGGAGGAAGUGGGAUGACGUCAAGUCAGCAUGGCCUUUAUGUCCUGGGCUACACACACGCUACAAUGGCCAACACAAUAGGUUGCUAAGCCGCGAGGUGGAGCCAAUCCUCAAAGUUGGUCUCAGUUCAGAUUGCAGGCUGCAACCCGCCUGCAUGAAGAUGGAGUUGCUAGUAACCGCAGGUCAGCUAUACUGCCGGUGAAUACGUUCCCGGGGCUU